RNA transcript from Eutrema salsugineum, 2117 nucleotides. It is a transcript of the gene named serine/threonine protein phosphatase 2A regulatory subunit B''beta, with no coding region annotated. NCBI's taxonomy places the organism in Eukaryota, Viridiplantae, Streptophyta, Magnoliopsida, Brassicales, Brassicaceae. The record is from RefSeq and is a predicted model, not a curated record. The transcript is spliced from 4 exons.
AUGAGACUUAGCGCCUCAUGAAGAUAAAACAUUACACGGUAUUUUUUUUCCAAAGCCUCUUUGUUUUUUAGGUUUCUCUCUAGACUCUUCUUCUUCGUCUCUCUUAAAUUUCUCUUUAGAUCCAUGCUGAAUUGGCUCAUCCGCGUUCAUGGGUUGCUCUUAUUCAGUGUCACCUUUGCUGUCUUUUCACACUCCCUUCCCAUAUCUCAGCGAUCUCGAUGCGAAUAGAUCCAGAUUUUGGUGGUGGAGAAGAGGAAAAAUCCGGAGGAGCUUAGUGACGGGAACAACGAAUGGCUGUGAGGCGACACCAUACAGUAGAUUUAAGAGUGGAGCAACGCCGCAAUUUUAUGAGAGAAGAAAAUGGAAAAGAUAUGUGUAGCAGUCAGGGUGAGGCUGCUGGCGCCAAAAUUAUCACCAGAAAACGGAUCUACUCUCUGAUCUUUCAUCAAAAGACCAGUGGAAACACGUGGUGGAAGAUCUAACGGUGGGAAAGCCAGAGAUGGUGGAGUUUCACGAGACAGAGACGGUGGAAUCGGCGAUUUGAGUGAUCGGAGAGUUGACGGUGUGUGGGAUUCCGGUUUGGAGGAAGAGAUCGACGCCGUCGAUUCCUGGAUUUGUGGAGAAUAGCGAGAUGAGGCAACAUAGAUUCGUUGGGAUUUUGAAUUCUCUUGAUAUCGUUACUUUCUUAGCUAAGAGCGAGUGUUUGCAAGAAGAAAAAGCUAUGAAGAUCCCUGUCCCAACAACACUCUCCUCAAACAAGUUGAUCCUGGGACAAGUUUAGAUCAAGCUCUGGUUGUGUCAUAAAGCUCACGAAUUUGAGUUUUUGUUAAUUGAAUGAUUCUUAAGUUAGUUCGAAUUUGGUUGCAUACAUUUAGGAUCUCAUCUUCACUGAAAAGAGUCACAUCAAUAGCUCAGUUUAUGUGGUAAAGCUCACAAAUUUAAGUCUUUGUAUCUUGAGUAGUUCCCGGUUUAGUUCAGUUUGAUGUGUUCGAGACUACGUUUGAUUUUAGUUGCAUACAGCUUAAGUAGAGUGGCAAGAAAAUUUGAAGUGUGAUUUUUAAUUUCUUCUGUUUUGCUGAGUGCGGCAUGAACCUGUUAGACAAAAUUAUAGAGUAUUAUCGACAAGGUUUGCUUUCCUUCUUUCCUUUAUCGGUUUGAUACUAUUCUAGUUCCACUGUAUUAUUUUGCAACUCAUAAGUAAUUGAGAGUGUCUGAGUUUCUGUGCCAGACAUUUGAGGAAGGAAGCUGACACAAUACCUGGAGCUGAUUAUAGAAAUGGAUUCCUACUUCUUGCAUCUCAACUCUCUUCUGCUUCAUUUUGGCUUUACGGCCUGUUAGAUGGAUUUGUUGAAGAUUGGUGUAAGUUCGAAUCUUUGAUAGUGUAGUGUUGGUUCAGAGGAAUGGUCAUGCAUUGCUUCAUGAUGCCUUGGCUGGAGCUCCUUUGAAUGUAGCUGGAACUGCAUCUGGCUCAAAUUCUGCCACCAGCAAUUCUAUAUCAUCCAUGUUUCCUGCAGGAAAUGCUCCUCCCCUUUCACCAAGGAGUUGUGGUUCACUCCGUAUGACGAAACAGUGAGCUGGGCCUUCUAACUUAUGCUCUUCCCUAAAAAUAACCAACGAGCCUGUUAAAGAGCCAAUGGCUCAGGUUUUUAAAUGCUUCUGCAGAUUUUCAUAAAGUGCAUUCUUUUUUCCUCUUUUAUAUGCUGAUGGAGUAAGCGUUGAAAUGAUUGCAAUUUUAUUUUCAAAAUGGUCGCCCACCACCAAGCGAGAUGAAACACAAAUGUAUGUUUCGAAUCAACCACUUUUUCUAUGGUCACUUGGACGGACUGCAGAUACAAGAGUUGGGUAUGCAGCAACAUCGUUUCGAGAAUGAGGAAUAUAUAGAAGUAAUUAAGGAAUUUAUGGAGGCAGUUUGUACUCGGUAGCCACAUGUUAUUGUGAAGGUAACCAAUGAGGCUUCAUAUAUCUAUGGUAUACUCCGUGGCCACAUGUUACUCGGAAGCUAAGCUGUCACUAUUGUCACUAGCUAUUCCUUUACCUUUUGUUGUUUAGUAAUGUUGGUCCUUGUAAUAUUUGUGUAAAACAUGUUUUCGCUUAAUGAAAUAAUCUUUUGAAACAAA